CGGUAAUUCCAGCUCCAAUAGCGUAUAUUAAAAUUGUUGCGGUUAAAACGCUCGUAGUUGGAUAUUUGUUGAGAACUGCCGGUCUACCCCAGUGGUCAGCACACGGUUUGUUCUCGGCACUUUCCUGGGGAGAGUGUUUGCACUUCACUGUGUGGCACAUGAUCCAGAACUUUUACUUUGAGGAAAUGAGAGUGUUUCAAGCAGGCGCCUGUCGUGAAUACGUUAGCAUGGAAUAAUAGCAUGGGACCGCGGUCUGAAGCUGUUGGUUUUCGGGCCGUGGUAAUGAAAAUAGGGAUAGUUGGGGGUAUUCGUAUUUAACUGUCAGAGGUGAAAUUCUUGGAUUUUUUAAAGACGGACUACUGCGAAAGCAUCUGCCCAGGAUGUUUUUAUUGAUCAAGAACGAAAGUUAGGGGAUCGAGGACGAUCAGAUACCGUCCUAGUCUUAACCUUAAACCAUGCCGACUAGAGAUUUGGGUCGUCAGAAUCGUGACGCCCUGAGCACCUUAGGGGAAACCAAAGUCUUCGGGUUCCGGGGGGAGUAUGGUCGCAAGGCUGAAACUUAAAGGAAUUGACGGAAGGGCACCACCAGGAGUGGAGCCUGCGGCUUAAUUUGACUCAACACGGGGAAACUUACCAGGUCCGGACAUAGAGAGGAUGACAGACUGAUAGCUCUUUCUUGAUUCUAUGGGUGGUGGUGCAUGACCAUUCUUAGUUGGUGGAGUGAUUUGUCUGGUUAAUUCCGUUAACGAACGAGACCUUAACCUGCUAAAUAGUUUCCAGAACCAUAUAGUUUCAGGAUGAUUUCUUAGAGGGACUUUGUGUGUGUAACGUGAGGAAGUGUGAGGCAAUAACAGGUCUGUGAUGCCCUUAGAUGUUUUGGACCGCACGCGCGCUACACUGAUACGUUCAACGAACUCCUAACCUACUCCGGAAGGAUUGGGCAUCCUUGUGAAAGCGCAUCGUGAUGGGGAUAGAUUAUUGCAAUUAUUAAUCUUGAACGAGGAAUUCCUAGUAAGCGUAAUUCAUCAGAUUGCGCAGAUUACGUCCCUGCCCUUUGUACACACCGACCGUCGCUCCUACCGAUAGAGUGUGUGCCGGGGAAUAUAUUCGGAUUGAGUCUUAUUUCAGACUUGGGAUUUGACGCGAGAAGUCUAGUAAACCUUACCACUUAGAGGAAGGAGAAGUCGUAACAAGGUAACC
RNAcentral lists this ribosomal RNA (1200 nucleotides) under uncultured dinoflagellate. Its description in RNAcentral is "SSU rRNA". It matches the Rfam family "Eukaryotic small subunit ribosomal RNA", at positions 577 to 1804 of the family's 1831-position model. The record is from RNAcentral. Lineage: Eukaryota; Dinophyceae.